AGGGCACAUGGCGGAUGCCUUGGCUCUCGGAGGCGAUGAAGGACGUGAUAAGCUGCGAUAAGCUGCGGGUAGGUGCAAAUGACCUUUGAUCCGCGGAUUUCCGAAUGGGACAACCCGGUACUUUGAAGAAGUAUCAUCCUGCAUUGCAGGAGGCUAACGCAGGGAACUGAAACAUCUUAGUACCUGCAGGAAAAGAAAAUAAACAAUGAUUCCCCCAGUAGUGGCGAGCGAACGGGGAAUAGCCCAAACCAUCCAUGUUACGGCAUGGGUGGGGUUGUAGGACCACGCCGUGGCAAGAAAGUUGGUGAGCAGAAUGUUCUGGAAAGUACAGCCAUAGAGCAUGAGAGCUGCGUAUGCGAAGCCAAGCGAAGCCUAGUGGUAUCCUGAGUAGCGCGGAGCACGAGGAAUUCUGCGUGAAUCUGCCGGGACCAUCCGGUAAGGCUAAAUACUCCCGAGAGACCGAUAGUGAACCAGUACUGUGAAGGAAAGGUGAAAAGCACUUCGAACAGAAGAGUGAAAUAGUUCCUGAAACCAUGUGCCUACAAGCGGUCGGAGCACCUUCUGGUGUGACGGCGUGCCUUUUGCAUAAUGAACCUACGAGUUACUUUUUCCGGCGAGGUUAAGGAUUUCAGAUCUGCAGCCGAAGCGAAAGCGAGUCUGAACAGGGCGUAUAGUCGGAAGGAGUAGACGCGAAACCAAGUGAUCUACCCUUGGGCAGGUUGAAGGAUGGGUAACACCAUCUGGAGGACCGAACCAAUAAGCGUUGAAAAGCUUCUGGAUGACCUGAGGGUGGGGGUGAAAGGCUAAUCAAACUUGGAGAUAGCUCGUACUCCCCGAAAUGCAUUUAGGUGCAGCCUUGACUUAUACUGGCAUGAGGUAGAGCGACUGAUAAGAUGCGAGGGCUUCACCGCCUAUCAAGUCUUGACAAACUCCGAAUGCGUGUCAGUUCUAUGUCAGGAGUGAGGGCAUGGGUGCUAAGGUCCAUGUCCUAAAGGAGAACAAUCCGGACCAACAGCUAAGGUCCCGAAAUGAAUACUAAGUUGAACUAACGAAGUCAGAUUGCUAAGACAGCUAGGAUGUUGGCUUGGAAGCAGCCAUUCAUUUAAAGAGUGCGUAACAGCUCACUAGUCGAGGAGUUUGGCGUGGAUAAUAAUCGGGCAUAAGUAUUCUACCGAAGCUUUGGGAUGAGAAAUCAUCGGUAGGGGAGCAUUCCACUCGGCGUCGAAGGUGAAGCGCGAGCUUUGCUGGAGCGUGUGGAAAAGCAAAUGUAGGUAUAAGUAACGAUAAAGGGGGUGGGAAACCCCCUCGCCGAAAGACUAAGGUUUCCUGAUCAACGCUAAUCGGAUCAGGGUAAGUCGGGUCCUAAGGCUCAGCCGAACGGCGAGGCCGAUGGCAGAACCGGUUAAUAUUCCGGUACUACCUGUGGGAGUGACGUGGAGACGGAGUCGUGACAGCGCCGCGGACUGACGGAAUAGUCCGUUGAAGGGUGUAGAUGCUGAUUGUUCCAGGCAAAUCCGGAGCAAGAGUCGAACCUGAUAGUAUGGAGCGUUCUUAGAACAAUCCAAUAGUGCGUGUAAUCAUACUUCCAAGAAAAUCCGCUAAACUUAAUCCUGCAGGUACCCGUACCGCAAACGGACACACGUAGUCGGGUUGAAUAUACUAAGGCGCUUGAGUGAUUCACGGUUAAGGAACUAGGCAAACUGACCCUGUAACUUCGGGAUAAAGGGUCCUCGCUUUACGGCGAGGCGCAGAGAAUAGGUCCAGGCAACUGUUUAACAAAAACACAGGGCUGUGCAAAAUUGAAAGAUGAAGUAUACAGCCUGACACCUGCCCGGUGCUGGAAGGUUAAGAGGAGAUGUCAUCGCAAGAGAAGCAUUGAAUUGAAGCCCCAGUAAACGGCGGCCGUAACUAUAACGGUCCUAAGGUAGCGAAAUUCCUUGUCGGGUAAGUUCCGACCUGCACGAAUGGUGUAAUGAUCUGGACGCUGUCUCAACCGUGAGCUCAGUGAAAUUGUAGUAUCGGUGAAGAUGCCGAUUACCCGCGAUGGGACGAAAAGACCCCGUGAACCUUUACUAUAGCUUAACAUUGAAUUUGGGUAAUUGAUGUGUAGGAUAGGCCGGAG
RNAcentral lists this ribosomal RNA (2122 nucleotides) under gut metagenome. RNAcentral's name for it is "bacterial LSU rRNA". It matches the Rfam family "Bacterial large subunit ribosomal RNA", at positions 14 to 2153 of the family's 2925-position model. The record is from RNAcentral.